ACUCAGCGAUCUCAAUGCCUGCCCGGUGACCGGUCAUGGCACCAACCCCAGCACCAGCGGUUCACCCAACGU
Molecule: small RNA, 72 nt
Filed under: Pseudomonas sp. Tn43
Lineage: Bacteria; Pseudomonadati; Pseudomonadota; Gammaproteobacteria; Pseudomonadales; Pseudomonadaceae
Description: sRNA P10
Rfam family: Pseudomonas sRNA P10
Source: RNAcentral